CAUUUUCCUGUCUGUUAAAACCCAUUUUCUAAUACAGGCCAUUUGGUGUUAUUGUCUGUAGGUUCUGGAUCCACUCCGUGCUGCCCACAGGUCCAGAGGCCCACAGGUCCAGCCUAUAUGUGACUGUAACCCUGAUAUGGUAAGGUUCUGGAUCCACUCCCGUGCUGCCCACAGGUCCAGAGGCCCACAGGUCCAGCCUAUAUGUGACUGUAACCCUGAUAUGGUAAGGUAGUGAUGGGGUGCUCCUGGAAGUGGGUUAUGAGUAAAUUGUAGG
This 274-nucleotide long non-coding RNA is filed under the name Oncorhynchus mykiss (rainbow trout). RNAcentral describes it as "lncRNA (ENSOMYG00000050544.1)". The record is from RNAcentral. Lineage: Eukaryota; Metazoa; Chordata; Actinopteri; Salmoniformes; Salmonidae.